RNAcentral lists this ribosomal RNA (912 nucleotides) under uncultured bacterium. RNAcentral's name for it is "bacterial SSU rRNA". It matches the Rfam family "Bacterial small subunit ribosomal RNA", at positions 8 to 916 of the family's 1533-position model. The record is from RNAcentral.
AGAGUUUGAUCAUGGCUCAGGAUGAACGCUAGCGGGAGGCUUAACACAUGCAAGUCGAGGGGCAGCACGAGGUAGCAAUACUUUGGUGGCGACCGGCGCACGGGUGAGUAACGCGUAUGUAACCUACCCUGUACAGGGGGAUAGCCCGGAGAAAUUCGGAUUAAUACCCCAUAAAGAUAUAUAGUGGCAUCACUUUAUAUUUAAAGCUCAGGUGGUACGGGAUGGGCAUGCGUAACAUUAGCUAGUUGGCAGGGUAACGGCCUACCAAGGCUGCGAUGUUUAGGGGUCCUGAGAGGGUGAUCCCCCACACUGGUACUGAGACACGGACCAGACUCCUACGGGAGGCAGCAGUGAGGAAUAUUGGUCAAUGGGCGCAAGCCUGAACCAGCCAUCCCGCGUGCAGGAAGAAGGCGCUAUGCGUUGUAAACUGCUUUUGCAGGGGAAGAAUGUUCUGUACGAGUAUGGAAUUGACGGUACCUUGUGAAUAAGCAUCGGCUAACUCCGUGCCAGCAGCCGCGGUAAUGCGGAGGAUGCGAGCGUUAUCCGGAUUUAUUGGGUUUAAAGGGUGCGUAGGCGGAUUGAUAAGUCAGUGGUGAAAUACUGCAGCUUAACUGUAGAAUUGCCGUUGAUACUGUCAGUCUUGAGUAUGGUUAAGGUAGGCGGAAUGUGUAAUGUAGCGGUGAAAUGCUUAGAUAUUACACAGAACACCGAUUGCGAAGGCAGCUUACUGAGCCAAAACUGACGCUGAGGCACGAAAGCGUGGGGAGCGAACAGGAUUAGAUACCCUGGUAGUCCACGCCGUAAACGAUGAUCACUCGCUGUUAGCGAUACACUGUUAGCGGCUAAGCCAAAGCAUUAAGUGAUCCACCUGGGGAGUACGACCGCAAGGUUGAAACUCAAAGGAAUUGACGG